CCUACGGGUGGCAGCAGUCGGGAAUAUUGCGCAAUGGACGAAACUCUGACGCAGUGAAGCCGCGUGCAGGAAGAAGGUUUUAGGCUUGUAAACUGCCUUUGACAGGGAAGAAAAAUGCCAGUACCUGUAGAAUAAGCUCCGGCUAACUACGUGCGAGCCGCCGAGGUACUACGUAGGGACCAAGCGUUAUCCGGAUGUCUUGGGUGUAACGGGUGCGUAGGCGGGGAAGCGAUUUAGUUGGGAAAUCCCUGGGCUUAACCGAGGAACUGCAAUUGAAACUACGUCCCUUGAGUACUGGAGAGGAAAGUGGAAUGCGUAGUGUAGCGGUGAAAUGCGUAGAUAUUAGGAGGAACACC
This 356-nucleotide ribosomal RNA is filed under the name uncultured bacterium. RNAcentral describes it as "partial 16S ribosomal RNA". It matches the Rfam family "Bacterial small subunit ribosomal RNA", at positions 338 to 710 of the family's 1533-position model. The record is from RNAcentral.